GUUGUAUAGUCAAGUAAUUAAGUGCAUGUGGUGGAUGCCUUGGCAGUCAGAGGCGAUGAAAGACGUGAUAGCCUGCGAAAAGCUCCGGGGAGGCGGCAAAUAUCCUUUGAUCCGGAGAUGUCUGAAUGGGGGAACCCACCUACUUUAAGGUAGGUAUUGCAACAUGAAUACAUAGUGUUGCAAGGCGAACGAGGGGAAGUGAAACAUCUCAGUACCCUUAGGAAAAGAAAUCAAUUGAGAUUCCCUCAGUAGCGGCGAGCGAACGGGGAUCAGCCCAUUAAGUUAUGUGUGUUUUAGUGGAACGCUCUGGGAAGUGCGAACGUAGAGGGUGAUAUUCCCGUACACGAAAGGGCACACAUAAUGAUGACGAGUAGGGCGAGGCACGUGAAACCUUGUCUGAAUAUGGGGGGACCAUCCUCCAAGGCUAAAUACUCCUGACUGACCGAUAGUGAACCAGUACCGUGAGGGAAAGGCGAAAAGAACCCCUGUGAGGGGAGUGAAAUAGAUCCUGAAACCGCAUGCAUACAAGCAGUGGGAGCACCUUCGUGGUGUGACUGCGUACCUUUUGUAUAAUGGGUCAGCGACUUAUAUUCAGUAGCGAGGUUAACCGUAUAGGGGAGCCGUAGAGAAAUCGAGUCUUAAUAGGGCGUUUAGUUGCUGGGUAUAGACCCGAAACCAGGCGAUCUAUCCAUGAGCAGGUUGAAGGUUGGGUAACACUAACUGGAGGACCGAACCCACUGUCGUUGAAAAGCCAGGGGAUGACUUGUGGAUAGGGGUGAAAGGCUAAUCAAGCCUGGUGAUAGCUGGUUCUCCCCGAAAGCUAUUUAGGUAGCGCCUCGGACGAAUACCAUAGGGGGUAGAGCACUGUUUCGGCUAGGGGGUCAUCCCGACUUACCAAACCGAUGCAAACUCCGAAUACCUAUGAGUACUAUCCGGGAGACAGACUGCGGGUGCUAACGUCCGUAGUCAAGAGGAAAACAAUCCAGACCGCCAGCUAAGGCCCCAAAAUCAUAGUUAAGUGGGAAACGAUGUGGGAAGGCAUAGACAGCUAGGAGGUUGGCUUANNNNNNNNNNNNGAAGCAGCCACCCUUUAAAGAAAGCGUAAUAGCUCACUAGUCGAGUCGGCCUGCGCGGAAGAUGUAACGGGGCUAAAACUAUGUGCCGAAGCUGCGGAUGUAUACUUUGUAUACGUGGUAGGGGAGCGUUCUGUAAGCCGAUGAAGGUGUGUUGAGAAGCNNNNNNNNNNNNNNNNAUGCUGGAGGUAUCAGAAGUGCGAAUGCUGACGUGAGUAACGACAAAACGGGUGAAAAACCCGUUCGCCGAAAGACCAAGGGUUCCAGUCCAACGUUAAUCGGGGCUGGGUGAGUCGACCCCUAAGGCGAGGCCGAAAGGCGUAGUCGAUGGGAAAAUGGUUAAUAUUCCAUUACUUCUGUGUAAUGCGAUGAGAGGACGGAGAAGGCUAAAUCAGCCUGGCGUUGGUUGUCCAGGUGAAAGGAUGUAGGCAUGUAUCUUAGGCAAAUCCGGGGUACUCUAUGCUGAGAUCUGAUAGCAAGCUGUACUUGUACAGCGAAGUGGUUGAUGCCAUGCUUCCAGGAAAAGUCUCUAAGCUUCAGUUACACAGGAAUCGUACCCGAAACCGACACAGGUGGUCAGGUCGAGUAGACCAAGGCGCUUGAGAGAACUCUGCUGAAGGAACUAGGCAAAAUGGUACCGUAACUUCGGGAGAAGGUACGCUGUUGUUGGUGAUGGAACUCGCUUCCUGAGCUGACGACAGCCGCAGAAACCAGGCCGCUGCAACUGUUUAUUAAAAACAUAGCACUCUGCAAACACGAAAGUGGACGUAUAGGGUGUGAUGCCUGCCCGGUGCUGGAAGGUUAAUUGAUGGGGUUAGCGUAAGCGAAGCUCUUGAUCGAAGCCCCAGUAAACGGCGGCCGUAACUAUAACGGUCCUAAGGUAGCGAAAUUCCUUGUCGGGUAAGUUCCGACCUGCACGAAUGGCAUAAUGAUGGCGGCGCUGUCUCCAGCAGAGGCUCAGUGAAAUCGAAAUCGCUGUGAAGAUGCAGUGUACCCGCGGCUAGACGGAAAGACCCCGUGAACCUUUACUGCAGCUUGACACUGAACUUUGACCUUACUUGUGUAGGAUAGGUGGGAGGCUUUGAAGCUGGAACGCUAGUUCCAGUGGAGCCGUCCUUGAAAUACCACCCUGGUAAUGUUGAGGUUCUAACUCUGUCCCGUGAUCCGGGACGAGGACCGUGUCUGGUGGGUAGUUUGACUGGGGCGGUCUCCUCCUAAAGAGUAACGGAGGAGUACGAAGGUGCGCUCAGCGUGGUCGGAAAUCACGCGUAGAGUAUAAAGGCAAAAGCGCGCUUAACUGCGAGACCCACAAGUCGAGCAGGUACGAAAGUAGGUCUUAGUGAUCCGGUGGUUCUGUAUGGAAGGGCCAUCGCUCAACGGAUAAAAGGUACUCUGGGGAUAACAGGCUGAUACCGCCCAAGAGUUCAUAUCGACGGCGGUGUUUGGCACCUCGAUGUCGGCUCAUCUCAUCCUGGGGCUGAAGCAGGUCCCAAGGGUAUGGCUGUUCGCCAUUUAAAGAGGUACGCGAGCUGGGUUUAGAACGUCGUGAGACAGUUCGGUCCCUAUCUACCGUGGGCGCUGGAAAUUUGAGAGGAUCUGCUCCUAGUACGAGAGGACCAGAGUGGACGAACCUCUGGUGUACCGGUUGUGACGCCAGUCGCAUCGCCGGGUAGCUAUGUUCGGAAGGGAUAACCGCUGAAAGCAUCUAAGCGGGAAGCCUACCUCAAGAUAAGAUUUCCCUAGGACUUUAUGUCCUCUAAAGAGCCGUUCGAGACUAGGACGUUGAUAGGUUGGAUGUGGAAGCAUAGUGAUAUGUGAAGCUGACCAAUACUAAUUGCUCGUGAGGCUUGACUAUACAACACCCAAGCAGUUG
This 2946-nucleotide ribosomal RNA is filed under the name Acinetobacter baumannii. RNAcentral describes it as "bacterial LSU rRNA". It matches the Rfam family "Bacterial large subunit ribosomal RNA". The record is from RNAcentral. Lineage: Bacteria; Pseudomonadati; Pseudomonadota; Gammaproteobacteria; Moraxellales; Moraxellaceae.